RNAcentral lists this transfer RNA (73 nucleotides) under Candidatus Woesearchaeota archaeon. Its description in RNAcentral is "tRNA-Ala". It matches the Rfam family "tRNA". Rfam says of the family: Transfer RNA (tRNA) molecules are approximately 80 nucleotides in length. Their secondary structure includes four short double-helical elements and three loops (D, anti-codon, and T loops). Lineage: Archaea; Nanobdellati; Candidatus Woesearchaeota. The record is from RNAcentral.
GGGCUGGUAGCGUAACGGCCAUCGCACCCCGUUCGCAACGGGGAGACUCCGGGUUCAAGUCCCGGCCAGUCCA